AGAGUUUGAUCCUGGCUCAGGAUGAACGCUGGCGGCGUGCUUAACACAUGCAAGUCGAACGAACCUUCGGGUUAGUGGCGGACGGGUGAGUAACGCGUGGGAAUCUGCCCUCAGGAGGGGGAUAACGGUUGGAAACGGCCGCUAAUACCCCAUAUGCCGAGAGGUGAAAUGAAUUUCGCCUGAGGAUGAGCCCGCGUCUGAUUAGCUAGUUGGUGGGGUAAUGGCUCACCAAGGCAUCGAUCAGUAGCUGGUCUGAGAGGAUGAUCAGCCACACUGGGACUGAGACACGGCCCAGACUCCUACGGGAGGCAGCAGUGGGGAAUUUUCCGCAAUGGGCGCAAGCCUGACGGAGCAACGCCGCGUGAGGGAUGAAGGCCUCUGGGCUGUAAACCUCUUUUCUCAAGGAAGAAGAUCUGACGGUACUUGAGGAAUAAGCCACGGCUAAUUCCGUGCCAGCAGCCGCGGUAAUACGGGAGUGGCAAGCGUUAUCCGGAAUUAUUGGGCGUAAAGCGUCCGCAGGCGGCUUUUCAAGUCUGCUGUUAAAGCGUGGAGCUUAACUCCAUCAAGGCAGUGGAAACUGAUUGGCUUGAGUGUGGUAGGGGCAGAGGGAAUUCCCGGUGUAGCGGUGAAAUGCGUAGAUAUCGGGAAGAACACCAGUGGCGAAGGCGCUCUGCUGGGCCAUAACUGACGCUCAUGGACGAAAGCCAGGGGAGCGAAAGGGAUUAGAUACCCCUGUAGUCCUGGCCGUAAACGAUGAACACUAGGUGUCGGGGGAAUCGACCCCCUCGGUGUCGUAGCCAACGCGUUAAGUGUUCCGCCUGGGGAGUACGCACGCAAGUGUGAAACUCAAAGGAAUUGACGGGGGCCCGCACAAGCGGUGGAGUAUGUGGUUUAAUUCGAUGCAACGCGAAGAACCUUACCAGGGUUUGACAUCCUGCGAACCUCUAAGAAAUUAGAGGGUGCCUUUGGGAACGCAGUGACAGGUGGUGCAUGGCUGUCGUCAGCUCGUGUCGUGAGAUGUUGGGUUAAGUCCCGCAACGAGCGCAACCCACGUUUUUAGUUGCCAGCAUUCAGUUGGGCACUCUAGAGAGACCGCCGGUGAUAAACCGGAGGAAGGUGUGGAUGACGUCAAGUCAUCAUGCCCCUUACAUCCUGGGCUACACACGUACUACAAUGCUACGGACAAAGGGCAGCGAACUCGCGAGGGCAAGCAAAUCCCAUAAACCGUGGCUCAGUUCAGAUCGUAGGCUGCAACUCGCCUACGUGAAGAAGGAAUCGCUAGUAAUCGCAGGUCAGCAUACUGCGGUGAAUACGUUCCCGGGCCUUGUACACACCGCCCGUCACACCAUGGAAGUUGGCCACGCCCGAAGUCGUUACUCCAACCCUUGUGGAGGAGGACGCCGAAGGUGGGGCUGAUGACUGGGGUGAAGUCGUAACAAGGUAGCCGUACCGGAAGGUGCGGCUG
Molecule: ribosomal RNA, 1465 nt
Filed under: Prochlorococcus sp. AG-412-L10
Lineage: Bacteria; Bacillati; Cyanobacteriota; Cyanophyceae; Synechococcales; Prochlorococcaceae
Description: bacterial SSU rRNA
Rfam family: Bacterial small subunit ribosomal RNA
Source: RNAcentral